This 449-nucleotide unclassified non-coding RNA is filed under the name uncultured Ascomycota. Its description in RNAcentral is "sequence contains ITS2". The stretch from base 1 to 154 matches the Rfam family "5.8S ribosomal RNA". The record is from RNAcentral. Lineage: Eukaryota; Fungi; Ascomycota.
AACUUUCAACAACGGAUCUCUUGGUUCCCGCAUCGAUGAAGAACGCAGCGAAACGCGAUAGGUAAUGUGAAUUGCAGAAUUCCGUGAAUCAUCGAAUCUUUGAACGCAUAUUGCGCCUUCCGGUAUUCCGGUAGGCAUGUCUGUUUGAGCGUCAGCAGAAACCCCCUUCGGUAAAGGUGUUUAUAUACUCCUGCCGGUGUUGGGUCAAGAAGGCAGAUAGGUGACGGUAACGUCCUUACCUGCCCCUGCCCUAAACUUGCUGAACAACCGUCAGCCCCUUCGGGCCUGGUUCAAUGGAGUGGUAUUGAUAGUCUUCCAAUGAACCUGCCGGAAGCUCUUGCGGUUUUAAACCUUAGAUCUUCCCCCUUUAUGGUGAAGGCUCUAGAAGUUUUGACCUCAAAUCAGACAAGGAUACCCGCUGAACUUAAGCAUAUCAAUAAGCGGAGGCU